UGGGGAAUUUUGGACAAUGGACGCNCCUUCUGAUCCAGCCAUUCCGCGUGCAGGACGAAGGCCUUCGGGUUGUAAACUGCUUUUGUACAGAACGAAAAAGUCUCUAUUAAUACUAGGGGCUCAUGACGGUACUGUAAGAAUAAGCACCGGCUAACUACGUGCCAGCAGCCGCGGUAAUACGUAGGGUGCAAGCGUUAAUCGGAAUUACUGGGCGUAAAGCGUGCGCAGGCGGUUAUAUAAGACAGAUGUGAAAUCCCCGGGCUCAACCUGGGAACUGCAUUUGUGACUGUAUAGCUGGAGUGCGGCAGAGGGGGAUGGAAUUCCGCGUGUAGCAGUGAAAUGCGUAGAUAUGCGGAGGAACACCGAUGGCGAAGGCAAUCCCCUGGGCCUGCACUGACGCUCAUGCACGAAAGCGUGGGGAGCAAACAGGAUUAGAUACCCUGGUAGUCCACGCCCUAAACGAUGUCAACUGGUUGUUGGGUCUUCACUGACUCAGUAACGAAGCUAACGCGUGAAGUUGACCGCCUGGGGAGUACGGCCGCAAGGUUGA
This 550-nucleotide ribosomal RNA is filed under the name uncultured bacterium. Its description in RNAcentral is "bacterial SSU rRNA". It matches the Rfam family "Bacterial small subunit ribosomal RNA", at positions 355 to 897 of the family's 1533-position model. The record is from RNAcentral.